RNAcentral lists this ribosomal RNA (281 nucleotides) under Salmonella enterica subsp. enterica serovar Muenchen. Its description in RNAcentral is "partial 23S ribosomal RNA". It matches the Rfam family "Bacterial large subunit ribosomal RNA", at positions 911 to 1190 of the family's 2925-position model. Lineage: Bacteria; Pseudomonadati; Pseudomonadota; Gammaproteobacteria; Enterobacterales; Enterobacteriaceae. RNAcentral also lists the same sequence under 135 other names. The record is from RNAcentral.
UGUUUCGGCUAGGGGGCCAUCCCGGCUUACCAACCCGAUGCAAACUGCGAAUACCGGAGAAUGUUAUCACGGGAGACACACGGCGGGUGCUAACGUCCGUCGUGAAGAGGGAAACAACCCAGACCGCCAGCUAAGGUCCCAAAGUCAUGGUUAAGUGGGAAACGAUGUGGGAAGGCCCAGACAGCCAGGAUGUUGGCUUAGAAGCAGCCAUCAUUUAAAGAAAGCGUAAUAGCUCACUGGUCGAGUCGGCCUGCGCGGAAGAUGUAACGGGGCUAAACCAU